This 138-nucleotide non-coding RNA is filed under the name Chrysochromulina tobinii. RNAcentral's name for it is "Chrysochromulina sp. CCMP291 Bacterial large subunit ribosomal RNA". It matches the Rfam family "Bacterial large subunit ribosomal RNA", at positions 2790 to 2925 of the family's 2925-position model. Lineage: Eukaryota; Haptophyta; Prymnesiales; Chrysochromulinaceae. The record is from Rfam by way of RNAcentral.
AAGCCUACCUCAAGAUGAGUACUCUUACCAUCAUAGAAUGGUUAAGGUCACGGCAAGACUAGCCGUUUGAUAGGUAUCAGGUGUAAGUACAGUAAUGUAUUUAGCUGAGAUAUACUAAUAGACCGAAUGCUUGACUUU